RNAcentral lists this ribosomal RNA (976 nucleotides) under uncultured Ralstonia sp. RNAcentral's name for it is "bacterial SSU rRNA". It matches the Rfam family "Bacterial small subunit ribosomal RNA", at positions 67 to 1031 of the family's 1533-position model. The record is from RNAcentral. Lineage: Bacteria; Pseudomonadati; Pseudomonadota; Betaproteobacteria; Burkholderiales; Burkholderiaceae.
CGGCAGCAUGAUCUAGCUUGCUAGGUUGAUGGCGAGUGGCGAACGGGUGAGUAAUACAUCGGAACGUGCCCUGUAGUGGGGGAUAACUAGUCGAAAGAUUAGCUAAUACCGCAUACGACCUGAGGGUGAAAGUGGGGGACCGCAAGGCCUCAUGCUAUAGGAGCGGCCGAUGUCUGAUUAGCUAGUUGGUGGGGUAAAGGCCCACCAAGGCGACGAUCAGUAGCUGGUCUGAGAGGACGAUCAGCCACACUGGGACUGAGACACGGCCCAGACUCCUACGGGAGGCAGCAGUGGGGAAUUUUGGACAAUGGGGGCAACCCUGAUCCAGCAAUACCGCGUGUGUGAAGAAGGCCUUCGGGUUGUAAAGCACUUUUGUCCGGAAAGAAAUCGCACUUACUAAUAUUAGGUGUGGAUGACGGUACCGGAAGAAUAAGGACCGGCUAACUACGUGCCAGCAGCCGCGGUAAUACGUAGGGUCCAAGCGUUAAUCGGAAUUACUGGGCGUAAAGCGUGCGCAGGCGGUUGUGCAAGACCGAUGUGAAAUCCCCGGGCUUAACCUGGGAAUUGCAUUGGUGACUGCACGGCUAGAGUGUGUCAGAGGGGGGUAGAAUUCCACGUGUAGCAGUGAAAUGCGUAGAGAUGUGGAGGAAUACCGAUGGCGAAGGCAGCCCCCUGGGAUAACACUGACGCUCAUGCACGAAAGCGUGGGGAGCAAACAGGAUUAGAUACCCUGGUAGUCCACGCCCUAAACGAUGUCAACUGGUUGUUGGGGAUUCAUUUCCUUAGUAACGUAGCUAACGCGUGAAGUUGACCGCCUGGGGAGUACGGUCGCAAGAUUAAAACUCAAAGGAAUUGACGGGGACCCGCACAAGCGGUGGAUGAUGUGGAUUAAUUCGAUGCAACGCGAAAAACCUUACCUACCCUUGACAUGCCACUAACGAAGCAGAGAUGCAUUAUGUGCUCGAAAGAGAAGUGG